This 301-nucleotide ribosomal RNA is filed under the name uncultured bacterium. RNAcentral's name for it is "partial 16S ribosomal RNA". It matches the Rfam family "Bacterial small subunit ribosomal RNA", at positions 509 to 807 of the family's 1533-position model. The record is from RNAcentral.
CAGUAGCCGCGGGAAUACGGAGGGUGCAAGCGUUAAUCGGAAUUACUGGGCGUAAAGCGCACGCAGGCGGUCUGUCAAGUCAGAUGUGAAAUCCCCGGGCUUAACCUGGGAACUGCAUUUGAAACUGGCAGGCUAGAGUCUUGUAGAGGGGGGUAGAAUUCCAGGUGUAGCGGUGAAAUGCGUAGAGAUCUGGAGGAAUACCGGUGGCGAAGGCAGCCCCCUGGGAUAACACUGACGCUCAUGCACGAAAGCGUGGGGAGCAAACAGGAUUAGAUACCCCUGUAGUCCCUGUCUCUUAUAC